GACGAACGCUGGCGGCGUGCUUAACACAUGCAAGUCGAACGGAAAGGCCCUGCUUUUGUGGGGUGCCCGAGUGGCGAACGGGUGAGUAAAACGUGAGUAACCUGCCCUUGACUUUGGGUUAACUUCAGGAAACUGGGGCUAAUCCCGGAUAGGAGUUCCUGCUGCAUGGUGGGGGUUGGAAAGUUUCGGCGGUUGGGGAUGGACUCGCGGCUUAUCAGCUUGUUGGUGGGGUAGUGGCUUACCAAGGCUUUGACGGGUAGCCGGCCUGAGAGGGUGACCGGCCACAUUGGGACUGAGAUACGGCCCAGACUCCUACGGGAGGCAGCAGUGGGGAAUAUUGCACAAUGGGCGGAAGCCUGAUGCAGCAACGCCGCGUGCGGGAUGACGGCCUUCGGGUUGUAAACCGCUUUCGCCUGUGACGAAGCGUGAGUGACGGUAAUGGGUAAAGAAGCACCGGCUAACUACGUG
RNAcentral lists this ribosomal RNA (468 nucleotides) under uncultured bacterium. Its description in RNAcentral is "partial 16S ribosomal RNA". It matches the Rfam family "Bacterial small subunit ribosomal RNA", at positions 28 to 507 of the family's 1533-position model. The record is from RNAcentral.